CGUUGAGCUAACCGGUACUAAUGAACCGUGAGGCUUAACCUUACAACGCCGAAG
This 54-nucleotide ribosomal RNA is filed under the name Escherichia coli. RNAcentral's name for it is "partial 23S ribosomal RNA". RNAcentral also lists the same sequence under 10 other names. Lineage: Bacteria; Pseudomonadati; Pseudomonadota; Gammaproteobacteria; Enterobacterales; Enterobacteriaceae. The record is from RNAcentral.